AACCCAUGAUGAGGACACCUUCUGAAAAGAUCCAUAAAUCUCUCUCAUGCAUCAUAUAAUGUCUCCAAAUCAAUUUGAACAAAAGAAGAGAUGUCGUUACUCAACUU
Non-coding RNA from Gossypium hirsutum (cotton), 107 nucleotides. NCBI's taxonomy places the organism in Eukaryota, Viridiplantae, Streptophyta, Magnoliopsida, Malvales, Malvaceae. The record is from Rfam.